RNAcentral lists this long non-coding RNA (332 nucleotides) under Macaca nemestrina (pig-tailed macaque). RNAcentral describes it as "lncRNA (ENSMNEG00000046201.1)". The record is from RNAcentral. Lineage: Eukaryota; Metazoa; Chordata; Mammalia; Primates; Cercopithecidae.
ACUGUGCUCUCAUGGAACAACAGCAUUAUGUCGACCAAACUUCAGAAUGUUUCUCCAGCCCAAGCUACUUGAGAAUAUUUUUCAUCAUUUUCAUAGUUACAUUCUUGAUUGGGUUGCUUAAAGUCCUUAUCAUUAGACAGGUGAUACUACAAUGGAAUAGUAACAAAAUUAAGUCCUCGUCAGAUUACAGAGUGUCAGCCUCAAAAAAGGAUAAGUUGAUUCUGCAAAGUGUUUGCACAAGAGCAGUAACCUACCGACGUGAGAAGCCUGAAGAAAUAAAAAUGGAUAUCAGCAAAUUAAAUGCUCAUGAAACUUUCAGGUGCAACUUCUAA